RNAcentral lists this transfer RNA (71 nucleotides) under Camelus bactrianus (Bactrian camel). It matches the Rfam family "tRNA". Rfam says of the family: Transfer RNA (tRNA) molecules are approximately 80 nucleotides in length. Their secondary structure includes four short double-helical elements and three loops (D, anti-codon, and T loops). Further hydrogen bonds mediate the characteristic L-shaped molecular structure. tRNAs have two regions of fundamental functional importance: the anti-codon, which is responsible for specific mRNA codon recognition, and the 3' end, to which the tRNAs corresponding amino acid is attached (by aminoacyl-tRNA synthetases). tRNAs cope with the degeneracy of the genetic code in two manners: having more than one tRNA (with a specific anti-codon) for a particular amino acid; and 'wobble' base-pairing, i.e. permitting non-standard base-pairing at the 3rd anti-codon position. RNAcentral also lists the same sequence under 2 other names. Lineage: Eukaryota; Metazoa; Chordata; Mammalia; Artiodactyla; Camelidae. The record is from Rfam by way of RNAcentral.
GUAUAUAUAGCUCAGUGGUAGAGCUCAUGCUUAGCAUGCACAAGGUCCUGGGUUCAAUCCCAGUGCCUUCU